Molecule: long non-coding RNA, 3633 nt
Filed under: Capsicum annuum
Lineage: Eukaryota; Viridiplantae; Streptophyta; Magnoliopsida; Solanales; Solanaceae
Description: long non-coding RNA (CANN_LNC020639)
Source: RNAcentral
UAAUAGGGUUCACGGCGUGUGAACCUAUACUUUGGUUAAUUCAUCGAUACUGCAUUCUGAUCAAAUGUGGUACUGUGAUGAUAAUCUUUAUGGGAGGAAGGAGACGUCCUUCCGUUAUGACCAUAUUGUCAUCAUGGAACUUUCGUUCUGAUGGAUUUUCUCUGUAUGGGUGAGCCUUUCUAAGUUUUAUCUUUUAAACGGCAUUGCCUUGUCUCCUAAGAUGGAUAAGUCCUUCUUGUGAUGCACCGUUAGCUUGUGAUGCACCGUUAGGGUGCACACUCAUGUGAAGGGUUUGGAACACCUCAAACCUGGAUGGAUGCAAGCAUCACCCUUUGGUAAGGUGGUGUUUUCAUUUGUGCGUUACUUGAAGGUCUGUCGGAAAUUCUCAUGCUCUAGCACUUUGUUUGCGUUAAAAGGGGUGAGUUUUAUUUGAAGUUAAGAAAGAAAAGGAAUAAACAAUUCUGGUCACAAUACUAUUACCGUGACACCUUCUUUUCUUCUUUUAGAAUUCACCUCCUUUUAGUGCAAUCCUAGUGUUCGGGGUGAGGGUUAAAGACUAGAUCCACGGAGCACUGUGCUCCUAGGGAAUUCUAGAAAUUAACUACUUCUAGAACGGAACACAUAAGACUAUGUAUACAAUACAAGGAAAGGAAAAAGGUCUCUUAGGGGUACCACAAAGAAAAGAAUCAAAAUAGCUAAAAAGAGUCUGCUUCCUUUAUCAUAUAUAUGAGAUAGUAGAUCACCUUUUUUUUUUGAAGCAAAAAAAAAGGUGAUCUACUGUUGUAGUCUUCUUGACAUAUCAAGUCAAGAGGGCGAGGCUCCUAGCAAUGGGGGGAAAGGGGAGUGGGUAAGCGGGCUCCUUUCACUUGACUGGUUAGUUAGGAGUGAUCUUUUUUCUACGAUGUUCGAGAUCUUUGUCUCGCAGAGGGUGAAAUGAGAUCUUCUUGGAACAAGGUCAGAGGCGUUGGACGGACCAGUUUCUUCUGAUUCCAAUGAUAGAUGGAUGGUCAGGUCGGUAACAUAUGGAUGGAGGACUUCUACAGGGUCUUCUCGUGCGCUCGACUAGCAAGGUGGUUUUGUAGGCGAACGAAAUAAGUUUUUGGAGGCGAGCGGAGUGAGGCAAUGAAAUUGUUUAGGCGAAAGAAAGGAGAGAACGAGUGGAGUUUCGAGAAUGAGAAUCAUAUAUUUUCUCAUUUCUUUUUCGUAGUAAGAAGACACUAAGACGCACCCACUACACACCACACACUCAGACGACUAGCGUGGUCCUUCCCCCAUCGAAGAGCCACGUAUCCAGGGUUGACCACAUCAUCACUGUUUUAUCAAGGUGUGGCCACGGUCUCAAUUGGGUCAUUGUUUAGUAUGCCCAAGCUUGACAAUAGCUGUGGAUAUUUUGAGUCCCUCAGAACGCAACUCCCUUAUGAGUUGGAAGCCAAGACAAAUGGAUUCCACUUCAUAGGUACCGUUCACCUCACGUGAAGGCUCGCUCAGAACACGUACCAAGCUUUUAUUAGAAAGGAACAGAACAAAGAGGAGUGCUCCACUCCGAAAGAGAAGGAACGGAAAGAGCAGGCGGCAGAGAAAGAGACAAGGAGGAAGAAGGGGGCACUACGGGAAGAGCAUCCAAGACGCGCUAAGGCAAAGGCAUAGAGCUCAAACACAGGCUUAGUAAGCACAGAUUCCCUAGAAAGAAAGAUAAUUCUAGAAAUUAACUACUUCUAGAACGGAACACAUAAGACUAUGUAUACAAUACAAGGAAAGGAAAAAGGUCUCUUAGGGGUACCACAAAGAAAAGAAUCAAAAUAGCUAAAAAGAGUCUGCUUCCUUUAUCAUAUAUAUGAGAUAGUAGAUCACCUUUUUUUUUUGAAGCAAAAAAAAAGGUGAUCUACUGUUGUAGUCUUCUUGACAUAUCAAGUCAAGAGGGCGAGGCUCCUAGCAAUGGGGGGAAAGGGGAGUGGGUAAGCGGGCUCCUUUCACUUGACUGGUUAGUUAGGAGUGAUCUUUUUUCUACGAUGUUCGAGAUCUUUGUCUCGCAGAGGGUGAAAUGAGAUCUUCUUGGAACAAGGUCAGAGGCGUUGGACGGACCAGUUUCUUCUGAUUCCAAUGAUAGAUGGAUGGUCAGGUCGGUAACAUAUGGAUGGAGGACUUCUACAGGGUCUUCUCGUGCGCUCGACUAGCAAGGUGGUUUUGUAGGCGAACGAAAUAAGUUUUUGGAGGCGAGCGGAGUGAGGCAAUGAAAUUGUUUAGGCGAAAGAAAGGAGAGAACGAGUGGAGUUUCGAGAAUGAGAAUCAUAUAUUUUCUCAUUUCUUUUUCGUAGUAAGAAGACACUAAGACGCACCCACUACACACCACACACUAAGACGACUAGCGUGGUCCUUCCCCCAUCGAAGAGCCACAUAUCCAGGGUUGACCACAUCAUCACUGUUUUAUCAAGGUGUGUCCACGGUCUCAAUUGGGUCAUUGUUUAGUAUGCCCAAGCUUGACAAUAGCUGUGGAUAUUUUGAGUCCCUCAGAACGCAACUCCCUUAUGAGUUGGAAGCCAAGACAAAUGGAUUCCACUUCAUAGGAACCAUUCACCUCACGUGAAGGCUCACUCAGAACAUGUACCAAGCUUUUAUUAGAAAGGAAUAGAACAAAGAGUAGUGCUCCACUCCAAAAGAGAAGGAACGAAAAGAGCAGGCAGCAGAGAAAGAGACAAGGAGGAAGAAGGGGGCACUAUGGAAAGAGCAUCCAAGACGCGCUAAGGCAAAGGCAUAGAGCUCAAACACAGGCUUAGUAAGCACAGAUUCCCUAGAAAGAAAGAUUUCCUCUCUUAAAGAUGCUUUCUUCCUGUAAUAGAAGUCAAACUCAACAGCUGACGCAACUACUUAUGCACUUCCAGUCCACCCAGACCGGUAGUAGCAGCAAGCCUACUUCUUAUUGCACUUGAAGGAGGAAUAAGACCAAAAAGAAGGAGAACUAACGACGGGAAGAGAAGAUAGUUAGUUUCUAAAGGCUGGACCAAUCAAACCAUAUCGUAUCGAACCAUAGCGGGAGCGAGGAGCACAUAUUCUUUAUUACUGACUUUUCAUGGUUGAUCGCACCAAAAGGAGUCGGUGCUUGUGAGUAGGAGAAUAUUCUUUAUUGCAAGAUGUUCGUCCACCCGCCGCCUUCGGUCAACUCAAACAAGAGGCCAGGAAGGACAUUGUUAAAGGCUCACUGAGUGCUUCUAGGUUAAAGGGAAGCACUAGACUCACUCCACGGGAACUCACUUUUCGGUUUGCUUCAGAUUUGGCAUUCAUUCCCCCUCCCCUUCCUGGAUUUCGCCUUAUUGUCUGCUAUGCUAGCCUAUGAUGGAUGAAGGCCAUUCAUUUUGGCUCUGUAGGGCUACCCACCCUAUGGUAUGGGGUGUUAUCUCAAGGGCCUGGUUAGGCUCUUCUUGUUGGAGUAUCCUCACUUAGAGGCUAAAAUUCAUUCUCUCUUUUCUUUUGGGAGUGCAUGAAGAGACCUGCUUACUGGAAGGUACCAUUCACAAAGAAUGGUGAAAAGGUUACCUACCCUAUGAUCCUCCUUAUCUUACAGAGGUUUACUACGAGCCAUACCCAGCGGGAUACAUAUUGCCCAAAUGGAACCUAAAAGAUGGGAUGGGUGAUCCA